RNAcentral lists this long non-coding RNA (2196 nucleotides) under Nothobranchius furzeri (turquoise killifish). Its description in RNAcentral is "lncRNA (ENSNFUG00015022685.1)". The record is from RNAcentral. Lineage: Eukaryota; Metazoa; Chordata; Actinopteri; Cyprinodontiformes; Nothobranchiidae.
AUGAGCCGCGCGGCCUUUGAUGGAGGGAAGACAGCUGCGGGGUGGAUGUUACAGAGCUCCUCAAAGUUUCCUGUUUGGAUCAUCGAGCAUGUCUGGGCUCAUAAGAUGAUGGAUGUAAAAGACGUCAUUGACCCAUCCAGCUGGCCAGAUGUGGACUCCCAGCCUCUGAGCCUCGAGGACUCGUGGAGGCUGCGCGUCGUCUCUGCCCAGGUUUACUCCAUCAUCAAGAACAGGGAUGUGAGGAACUUUGAGAGAGUGGUGGGCUUUCUGGAGACAACCCACAGACUUCUACCUAGACUGGUGCCUGCCAUCAAACACAUGAAGGUCGUGUUUGGUCUCAAGACCAUGGUCAUUAUGUGGAUGCUGAAGGACGACAAAGGAGUGAUCGACAUUGUGUCUAAAGUUGGAGAGUUCUUCCCUAAUAAACUACCUCAAUAUCAAGAUCAGUGUAGCCAACGUACCAUGUUCCUCAUGAGGAAGAACCACCUUGACUUUAAGAGUCUUGCACAAACACUCGCCAUAAACAAGGACAGACUGGAAGAUUACAUCAAGAACCAGAUGGAGGAGCAGUAUGGGGAACGCUACGCUCAGAAAGUAGAGGACAGGGUUCUGCUCUACCUACAGGAGCUGGAGGCUUCACUAUCAGGAGAGACCUACAUCGAUAAGAUACUGAAGAAACAAAGUCCUGUGACAGCGGAGGAGAAGUUACUCCUGGAGGUUAUAACCUCAGACUCUAAAACCAUUGCAUCGGUACUGAAGAACCUGCUGCACUGUGAUGUUUCUGCCUGUUGGCCUGACAGUGGCCCUCAGCCUCCAGCUGGUGAAGUCUCUCAGCUCUCAAAUACGUCUUUGCACUGGAGCCUUACGAAGUCAGGAGAAGGAGAAACUUCAUCUGAGCUUCAGCCAGAUGUUCUUGGAAAAGGCGGAGAAGCCGGCCCUGAUCUGUCUGAGAGUCCUCUCUUGUUUGUGGAUGAUUCAGAUGCUGGAGAGCAUCGGCCCCCGGAGGAGCAAGAUGAGAGGAUAAAAAUGAAAGACAAAGCAAGAAAUGACGAUAAAGACGGGAGCUGUCAUCGCAAAAGCAGGGAAUGUGGUAGAGAGGCGACUUCCUGUCCUCAGUUCUGCUCCAAACACCAACGAUGGGUGAAAAACAUCCUGCAAGGAUGUUCAGACGAAUGCUCAGAAGAGCUGCUGCUGCAUCAAACCAUGUCUUCAUCUCCUGUGCUGUUCCAGUCAUCGUCCUCCACCUCUUCAUCUCGGGAUCUCACCCCGUCCGACCUGGUCCCCUCUCCUGCUGAUCAGCCACCAUCACAGACCUCUGUCCAGCUUCAGGCGCCAGAAGCAGCUAAAACCAGCUCAGGAUCUCUGAUGGAACGUCUGCCACGGCCCACUUCAUCACAAAACUCUCCACCGCCUCGAAUGUCACCAGUGGUCCAACUGCUGGACAUCGCUUCCCUCUGGAGGAGCCGCCUCAGCUCUCGAUCCCAACAAGAAGGUUUUCAUCAUGUGAUCAAGUUUACCAGCAAACAGUCAUCAUCUCGUUCCAGCUCUCUGGUUUUUGCGCACUGCUGCACAUCAGGAAGGAAAGACUCCAUGUUUGUUUUACCAGAGCCUCGCCGAGCCGCUCGUGUGAAUCAGGACUUUCCUGCUCGCUCCAGCUGUCGGCUUCCGGCACAGAGAAGCUUUUCCACACUCUCAACAAAGUUCAGCCUGACUUCGACCACCAACAGACCAUCUCUGGCUUUAAAGAGGAGAUCUUCAGCUGAGCAGGUUGUGAAGAACCCAGGAGCUUUAUCCAACCGCCUCAUCAAAGAGUCUAAACCUUUUAAUGAAAGUAUCUCAGAGAACAGGUCCUCCCAGGAGGCCGACGGCCAGAACUCCACCAAACCGGAUCUUACAUCGCACACCGAGUCACUUCGGUCCAAACCGCCCUCGUCGCUCGCCGCUAACCCGUCCGCCCCGUACGUGAGACUUACCCGGCUGAGCCUGCAGGAGUGUUUACGAGCGGCAGAAGGAAGGCGGCAGGAAGCGCUCGAGCAAGGCAGCGGUGAUGACGAAAGAGCAACAGAGAUGGAAGAAGACACCGAUUCUUCCUUCGAUGUGAACGCGCUUUUCUCGAGCGAUUCUUUGAGCAGCGGCGACUCGUUUUCCUACGACCCCGACUACAAACCGUGCACUAAAAAAAAAAGACCUCUUUAG